UGGUUGAUCCUGCCAGUAGCAUAUGCUUGUCUCAAAGAUUAAGCCAUGCAUGUCUAAGUACGCACGGCCGGUACAGUGAAACUGCGAAUGGCUCAUUAAAUCAGUUAUGGUUCCUUUGGUCGCUCGCUCCUCUCCUACUUGGAUAACUGUGGUAAUUCUAGAGCUAAUACAUGCCGACGGGCGCUGACCCCCUUCGCGGGGGGGAUGCGUGCAUUUAUC
This 219-nucleotide ribosomal RNA is filed under the name Odocoileus virginianus (white-tailed deer). RNAcentral's name for it is "partial 18S ribosomal RNA". It matches the Rfam family "Eukaryotic small subunit ribosomal RNA", at positions 5 to 211 of the family's 1831-position model. Lineage: Eukaryota; Metazoa; Chordata; Mammalia; Artiodactyla; Cervidae. The record is from RNAcentral.